GCAAGUCGAGCGGACCGACGGGAGCUUGCUCCCUUAGGUCAGCGGCGGACGGGUGAGUAACACGUGGGUAACCUGCCUGUAAGACUGGGAUCACUCCGGGAAACCGGGGCUAAUACCGGAUGCUUGAUUGAACCGCAUGGUUCAAUCAUGAAAGGCGGCUUCGGCUGCCGUUUACAGAUGGACCCGCGGCGCAUUAGCUAGUUGGUGAGGUAACGGCUCACCAAGGCGACGAUGCGUAGCCGACCUGAGAGGGUGAUCGGCCACACUGGGACUGAGACACGGCCCAGACUCCUACGGGAGGCAGCAGUAGGGAAUCUUCCGCAAUGGACGAAAGUCUGACGGAGCAACGCCGCGUGAGUGAUGAAGGUUUUCGGAUCGUAAAGCUCUGUUGUUAGGGAAGAACAAGUACCGUUCGAAUAGGGCGGUACCUUGACGGUACCUAACCAGAAAGCCACGGCUAACUACGUGCCAGCAGCCGCGGUAAUACGUAGGUGGCAAGCGUUGUCCGGAAUUAUUGGGCGUAAAGCGCGCGCAGGCGGUUUCUUAAGUCUGAUGUGAAAGCCCCCGGCUCAACCGGGGAGGGUCAUUGGAAACUGGGGAACUUGAGUGC
This 610-nucleotide ribosomal RNA is filed under the name Bacillus sp. PSu3_26. RNAcentral's name for it is "bacterial SSU rRNA". It matches the Rfam family "Bacterial small subunit ribosomal RNA", at positions 57 to 649 of the family's 1533-position model. The record is from RNAcentral. Lineage: Bacteria; Bacillati; Bacillota; Bacilli; Caryophanales; Bacillaceae.